Molecule: long non-coding RNA, 1532 nt
Filed under: Lonchura striata (white-rumped munia)
Lineage: Eukaryota; Metazoa; Chordata; Aves; Passeriformes; Estrildidae
Description: domestica (Bengalese finch) lncRNA (ENSLSDG00000015963.1)
Source: RNAcentral
CUUGUUUUCUCUCUCCAGACAUAAGCACGAAAUUUGUUGCGCGUGAUUUCAAACUGGGGGAGGGAGGUGGACGGGAAGGAGAAGUCUUUGUCGAAGGAGAGUUGGGAUGCCAGGCUUUCCGCUUCCACGGCGGAGCCGCGGUCCGGCAGCGCGUUCCGCGGGGAGCGCUCGGCCGAGCCGGGACGCGCCGGGACCGGGACGCGCCGGGACGCGCACAGCCCCCUAGCGCCGCCUGCUUCCCCCCUACUCCUUUUUCUAGGGAUGUCACUGCUCGUCCCAGCUCGCAGACAAAUUGCGUGUCGGGCACGGCGCGAUGCCACUGGUUUCUCCAAAACCAAUCGGCUUGAAUUUCUACGUAGACACCACCAAGAAAUUGUGCUCAGAUCAAGAUACUGCUGUUUUGGAAUUGCAAGUUAAUUGCCAAAAUGAUUUGGUGCAUGGUGAGAAUAAGGACAUGACUGGGAAAGCUACACUAGAGGAAACUGCUGUGACUAAAGGCCUAGCAAGAAACAAUGAGGCAGAAGAGGAAGAGGAAGAAGAGCAUGACUACAGCUAUAUUGAUGAAAACAUAAUUGAAAAUAUAAGAAAAGUAUUUCACAGCACCAGAAAUGAGCAUACACUCUCCAAAGGAAGAAGAGACAUCUGAAGGAAAAUAAUUCUGAAAUUAACUGGAAACAAGUAGGAAGCUGUGUCCUUCACACAUCAAGAUUGACCACAACUGUAAGAAAAAGCUGCUCAUGAAAGUGUCCUUCUUGACUCAUGGAGAGCAUACAAGGCUGUAAUUUAGCUAUAAUAAUCCCCUGUGAAACUAAACUGCUUACUUGUCCUAAAUAAGAAGUCAAACCAGCUAAUGUCUCAUGACCCUUUGAAGGGACAAAGCUCUUCUGUACAUAUUUAUUAGUGAAUUCAGAGAACGAUGCCAAGUCCAAUCCUUCAUUCUUAUUUGCACCUGAAAUUCCAGUUAUUUCCUGAACUUCUGUAGGGCAUAUGCAAAAGAAAAUUCCUUACUGAAACAGCUUCAUAGUUGCUUCCUCUGGGUUUUGGUUUUGGGUUUUUGUUGUUUUUCUUUUUGAGAAGAAAAGGGUAAUGAAGGAUUAUCUAAGGUGGACAUUCAUUUCUUUAGCCAGUUUUAUGUGCUUCAGGUUAAGGCUCAAACUGGAAAUGACCAGAUUCUGUCACUUUUUCACAUGAUGAAAAAAGCACAAGUAGUACCAUUGCACAACAUGUAAUUUGCCCUGGAAAGCAAAGUCACUUCUCUCACAAGGCCUGGGAGUGCCUAAAUUGUGUAGCAUUGCCAUCUUUAUAACCCUUUGUACUGCUAAUAUCCAGAAUCACACUAAAGUUAUUAUAUUCAGCAAUUUGCUGAAACUGCAGUCACAAAGAAUUUGUGUCCACACCAUCCCUAUCCCACCCAGGAUAGCUGCAUAACCCUCUGGCAAUAAUUUGACUUCCAGGGAAAAAUAUUAAGAACUGAUAUCUAAACACAUAGUUGAUGUGCCAGGGAUUUUCAGAGUCAACAGCAGCUUGAUCAG